AAACCUGGGGGUUAGGGGAAAGGGGUGAGCUACUAAAGUCAAGUGAGCAGAACAAUAAAACAAUUUAUAAACAUAUGCUUUUAUGAAAUGCAUCACAACACAAACAAUUCACAUCACGGAUGGACUUGUCACCAGUAACCCUCUGCAUAUCCAAGUGCCCGGCCCACAACGGGAGCUCCUCAGGACUUUCGCUUAAUCAUAACAUAACAUAUCCAACUGUGCCAGGGGUGUAGACUGGGCAACCCUGGUCUUUCCCUUACAU
Molecule: long non-coding RNA, 262 nt
Filed under: Manihot esculenta (cassava)
Lineage: Eukaryota; Viridiplantae; Streptophyta; Magnoliopsida; Malpighiales; Euphorbiaceae
Description: long non-coding RNA (MESC_LNC011097)
Source: RNAcentral